GGGGACGGACGUCAAGUCAUCAUGGCCCUUAUGCCUGGGGCGACACACGUGCUACAAUGGUAUGUACAGAGAGACGCAAUACGGCGACGUGGAGCAAAUCUCUAAAACAUAUCUCAGUUCGGAUUGUAGUCUGCAACUCGACUACAUGAAGCUGGAAUCGCUAGUAAUCGCGGAUCAGCCAUGCCGCGGUGAAUACGUUCCCGGGUCUU
RNAcentral lists this ribosomal RNA (209 nucleotides) under uncultured Helicobacter sp. Its description in RNAcentral is "partial 16S ribosomal RNA". It matches the Rfam family "Bacterial small subunit ribosomal RNA", at positions 1175 to 1382 of the family's 1533-position model. Lineage: Bacteria; Pseudomonadati; Campylobacterota; Epsilonproteobacteria; Campylobacterales; Helicobacteraceae. The record is from RNAcentral.